UGACCAAUCAAAGCUGUAAGAUUAUGUAGUAUAGGGGCGGGGCGUUUCUUUCCGUUAUACAUAAAUUAGGACUUAACAUCGCUUAGUUACGAGAUAGUGUAGAGUAGUUUUGCUUUAGUGUAGAGUAGUUUUGCUUUGGUGUGGAGUAGUUUGGCCGUAGUAUAGUUUGGUUUAAGUGCAGUGUAGUUUGGCCUUAGUGAAGUGUAGUUUGGUUUUGGUGUAGAGUAGUCUGGCUUUUAACAUACGUUAAUGCCUUUUUUAGGUUGUAUAGCCUUUUUCACUUUGGCAGGGGGACUGCCAAUGGAAACUAGCCUUUUGGCUAUAAUUGGGUGCAUUUACAUUUUAAUGUUCAUGAAUGUACACUGUCCCUCUUGAUCAAAUAAACAAAUUGAUUGAUUGGUGUGGAGUAGUCUGGCUUUGGUGUGGAGUAGUUUGGCCGUAGUAUAGUUAGGUUUAAGUGCAGUGUAGUCUGGCUUUGGUGUAGUGUGGUUUGGUGUAGUGUGGUUUGGUGUAGUGUGGUUUGGCCUUAGUAUAGUCUGGCUUUGGUGUAGUGUGGUUUGGUUGCAGUGUAGUCUGGCUUUGGUGUCGUGUGGUUUGGUGUAGUGUGGUUUGGUGUAGUGUGGUUUGGUGUAGUGUGGUUUGGUGUAGUGUGGUUUGGUGUAGUGUGGUUUGGUGUGGUGUGGUUUGGUGUAGUGUGGUUUGGUGUAGUGUGUCUGGCUUUGGUGUGGUUUGGUGUAGUGUGGUUUGGUGUGGUGUGGUUUGGCCUUCUCAGUGUAGUUCUGCUGUGACCCCCCAGGUGGAGGGGGGCGUGGAGCAGCAGGAGGACGAGGAGACUCUGGAGGUUUUGUCCGUGACUGAGGAAGACGAGCUCCCGACGGUUGUGACGCCGUCCACCUUCAUCGUGAGCUCUCUGAGCAGCCAGACCAGCGGCCGACCCCGUGACCUCUGGAACACGGACACUCAGGACCCCCACGUCCCUGAGCCCCUCCCCUCACCUGUGCCCCCCUCAAACCCGCCAGCCAGCCCCGGCAUGCC
Molecule: long non-coding RNA, 1035 nt
Organism: Clupea harengus (Atlantic herring)
Lineage: Eukaryota; Metazoa; Chordata; Actinopteri; Clupeiformes; Clupeidae
Source: Ensembl